Long non-coding RNA from Canis lupus familiaris (dog), 6420 nucleotides. RefSeq lists it as uncharacterized. The record is from RefSeq and is a predicted model, not a curated record. The transcript is spliced from 5 exons. NCBI's taxonomy places the organism in Eukaryota, Metazoa, Chordata, Mammalia, Carnivora, Canidae.
GCCUCUCCAGGCCCCCCGCCUGGGCCGCCGCUCCAGGUGCAGGAGCAGCCCAGCCUCGCCCCGUGGGCGAUGUGCCUCUGAGCUUGGAGCCGGAUCAGAUUGAGGAAAGACUGAGCUGAUUCAUCCUAAAGCUCAUACUCAUCCUCUUAAGCUUGUCCUGUUUCUUGGGGGCUCAGGGCGGCAGCAUGGAUCCCCACUUGACAGAGAUCGAAUAGAGAAGCUUACUAAGUGGCUCCCAGUUACCCCAGUAGCGGGGAAUGGUGGGAGGGCGGGAGGGCGCCCCGCAAGGAACUGCUCCUUCUCCACCCUGACAUUGGACGGGCCUUGCUGUCUGCCCAGGAAAAAGCCACUUUAGAGACAGGAAAAAGACGAGAUGUGACAUAAGAAUGGGUUUCAGAGCCGCCACUUGUUGGCCCCAUCCACGUAUUAAUCACCGUGACUUACAGAAAUUUCCCAGGGGUUGCCCGGGGAGGGCGUGAGCUUGGAGUCCUGAAAGACAGUUCAGGCAAAAACUCUAGAUUUGGACUUGAGCGCUCAGACGCCUCCACCAUAUAACUGGCCUGCUCAGGCCUGACGGAGACUUUCAAGGAGAAUAGCUACUUCAUUCAACUAAGGACUUACUAAAUCUUCCUCCUUAUGGGCAGUUGGUCAAGAUGUAAGACAUUGACCCAUCCUCAACAAGUCAUGGUACCUGCCUGUAUUCGCCAUGCCAAGCAGCAAGCACAUACUUCGGAUGCAUCACCUCACAGCCAUGGAUGAUCAGAACCCCUCUGGGGAUUCUGUUCCCAUCCCAGACGCCAAGAUAACAGUCCCAGGGAAGGGAAACAAGCCGUGUGCAUCCUUCUGGAUAAGAGCAGCAGCAAAUGCAAACUGAUUAUCAAGCCCAGAGAGAAGACGAAGCCGUUCAGGACAAGUUGUUGGCUUCCCCAGUAGGACAAAGAGUUCCCUAAGGUAGUGUCUUCAUUCACUUGAUAAAAAUCGGAGCACCUACACUGUGCAGGAACCAUGCCUGGUGCUGGGGUUUGGGGGCUGAAUGGGGCAGAGGUGGUCCUGACCUCAGGCUUCCGUUUCUAAAUGCAUCCAGCCUUACAAUCCAGUAGGAAGGAGGAAGCAAGCAGUCGAUCCCUCUAAAUCCAGGACAAGAGCAAAGAAAGCAGGAGUCUGGGACAUGGAACAGAGAAGAAAGCCUAGCUGCUGGCUGGGCCUCGGGGAAGGUAUGAGCAGGUGCGAUGUGGCACCUGGGCCUUUCUCGCAGAGAGCAGGGCCGGGUCACAUGGGCUCAUAGAACAAUAGGAUAGUUCAAGGAGUCAAAACCCGAGGCAAAUCGGGCUGGGGUGGGAAAGCCCCAUAGAGGCCCAGGGAGAAACCAUAUCUUCCGGAGAAGCCAGGAAAUUGUCUGGGAGAGAGGGAUGAGUCACCGGGGUGGGGUACUCCCAGCGAAGGGGAGUGGCAGGGCCCACUGGACCUGACAUGGCCAUGGGAGAUAUGUGGUCUUCCCUGGAAGACCCCAGCCCCCUACCCAGCUGCUGCAUUGGCCACCUAGCAGCACCCUCAGGAGACUGGGGUCCCUGGCCCAGCCCCGAAGGAGAUAGUGGAAAGGCUUCCCAGCCUCUUCCUGCUGAUGUGAAAUAGUUGAAAGAGAAAAUAAGAGAGAUGAAUGAUCGGCUAUUUGAAUUUUGACUCCCUGGAUCUUGCAUGUCUUAAGACACCAGGAUACAGAGGCUCUUAGCUGGAAGCGGAAUGCAUGGGCCAGAGACAGAAUGUGUUUGCCCAAGGACUGGCUGCAUACUGAACACACUGUAAGCUGGAUGUUGCAGAGGAGGGAGGAAAAGCCCCCAAGACUCAGUGAUCUGGGUUGCUGUGGAGGACAGUGGGGUGAUGGAAAAAGAAUAGGAGGCCAGGAAGUACCCAGUGAUUCACCGAGGGAACAGUUAGGACGGGCAGAAGUGUACUUGUGGCCCGGAAGCAGGAUCUCAGAGAAUGAAGUAGGCAGUGCUCCCUCCAAAACGGAGACAUCUGGUUGCAAGUCUGAGGGACGUGAGAUGAUGUCCCUGCUUCCUCCUUCCUACUGGAUUGUAAGGCUGGAUGCAUUUAGAAACGGAAAGGUAAAGAUGAGAGGACAAAAAAAAAAAAAAAGAUGAGAGGACAGAAGUUGGUGUCAUCACAGCAUACAGUAGGCCACCUGGACCCAGGAGAAAUUCCAUCCCCUCUCUGAGGGAACUCCACAAAUGGGCAGAGAGCAAUGUAAAAGUGAGACGUCCACUGGAAGCCUCUUUAACAAAAAUCAGAUUCUUUCACCUACACCCCUCCCCUUCACCCAAGUUUACGGAGCGUCAGUUCUUGGCCAGGCACUGGGAUAGAUGCUGAGGACACAGUGGUAAAGGAGACAGAUGUCAUAGUCCCUGCCCUUCCAAACCUGGCCUUCCAAUGGCAGUAAGCAAGCAAAAGCCAGAACCAAAACCAAACAAGUUCACAGCCUAAGAAAUACUAUAACUGUAAGUUGAUCUAACUGAGAGGGGCCUAAGGGGGGAAGGGUAAUCAGAGGAAACCUCCUGCAGGGUGAAAUCCACCCUGAGACCUAAAGGAAGAGAAGAAGCUAGCUAAGCAAAGGAGAGAGGACACAGCAGGUGCAAAGGUCCUGGGGCAGAGGACAAUUAGAGCUACUCAAAGAGUGGAAAGAACACAGUAGGAGUGGUAUGGGAUGAACUUGGUGAUAAGGGCAGAGGCUUUGAGGGUGUUCAACAGGGGGAUGGUGUGAUCCACUUCAUGUUUUAAGAAGGCCAUUUUUGCUACUAUGUGUAAACUAGAUGGUGAAGCUUCUGACAAAUUCUUGAUUUAUUAACAAUUUCCUGCCUUAGAAGAUCUACUCCCAGGAACGACCGCCAUAUAGGGGAACUGUUAGCCAAAUCAACAUAAUAGAAAUCUGGAAGUAGCCAACUAUGUGAUUUUAGGGUUCGCACUAUCCUAGAAAGAUAACACAGAGUUAGCGUAUAUUUUGAUUAUCAGCAUGGAAGAUCUCAAAUCUCUGGUUGAAAAGUCUUGUGAUUCUAAGAAUUGCAUCUCAAAAGGGAAGGUCAGUUCAGAGUACUUCCAACUGUGUCAUUACAAACGACUUUCUUUCCAAAGAGGGGGAAAUGGACAUAAUGGUGGACAUGGUUCUGAGGGAAGCUGAGAUGUUUAAAGAACAGGUAGCUAAAAAGAAAACGAAGGUUAACUACCCACAGGCAAAUACAAGAUAGGGACCUCUGAGAAUAAUCUCAGGAAUGCACAGCACAUGGAAAGGGAAAUGGAAAAUGAUUAGGGCAGGACACCUGGGGCGCACAGCAGACAAAGGCACAGCGCUGCCUGGAGCCAGGGGAAGCCGCGAGAUUCCUCCUUCCCACAUCCUUUAGGGAGGAAACCUGCGGGACAAGAGGCCAGGACUCUGAGCACAGGACUCCUGCUUGCUUUGCAAUCUGCAGCACCCCCUGCAUGGCUGGCCCAGAUUUUCAGACAUUCAGAGUCUAGACUGAAGACACUAAAAGGAAUAUUUGUAUGUUCACUCUUCAGCAUUCCAGGUGAGUAGGACUUUAAGGUGACUUCAGCGCCAGCCUCAAGCCGGCAGUCUGUUUGUUCCCUUCGGUCAUCUGCAUGGUCCCACUUAGGAAAGCCCCGUUAGGACCCUCGGAGUAGAUCAAGGAUGUAUUUUAUGUUCUGAAACAUUAGAAAGCCACAGCAUUAAAACAUAAAUACAAAGGCAGAACACUUUAAAAUGAGAAAAAAACAUCCUUUCUUGAUAGGGUUGGAAGCUUCAUCUCUUUCCCUAGACACGGUAAAUAGAUCCUUCUCUCUUCCUUCCCCAGUGGGAAGAGCAGGAAAUGGGCAGAGAGGGGUGGGCAGGGAGUAGUGAUACUCUGACGUAGCUGUAGGAUUUCAGAAUUGAGAAAGAGCCUCAGGAGCCCUCAUGGCCAACUUUUUAUCUCACGGAAGAGGAAACCAAAGCUCAGUAAAGUCAGAUGACUUGCCUAAGGUCAUUGGCCUCAGGCCCCUGGGGAGUUAAUGUAUCAGGGUGGAUUGAUGACUUUAUGCAUUUAAAAGAAUGAACUCCCCUAGUUAGAAGAUCACUCUGAUACCUCAUUUAUUCAUCCAACGAGCAUUUACUGAGCACCUGCUCUGUGCCAGGCUUGGGCCUGUAAUGACAGCUUGUCUCCUGCAGCUGCCCUCUUGUGGCAAAGUAGGGAGGUGGGUGAGCAGGUUGCAAUGCACUGAAUUGGUAUAAUGGCCUGCUACUGGAGGAAAGUACUGCCCUGGAGAUGAGGCCAUCUGAAGUCCUCCUCUUCACCCCACCCCACCCUGGCCUUCCCCAACCAUCAGGUUGCAGAGGACUUGUAGGGCUUAUGUUCCUCAUGUCUAAAUAUUAAAACAUUAUACAUCAAUUAACUAUGAUAAAUAAAAUAAAGCAUGUAGACCCACCCUAGACUUCUGUGGGGCCAGGAAAUGUACGUGGAGCCCCUGGCCCCUGGCCCUUGGCCCACACGUCUGUGCACCCCGCCUUCGGCUCUGCUCACAACACCCAACCCGCACAUCCAAGCUCUACUCCAGCCUCCCCUCUCACAUCCUGUUGUCCCUACCUCAGACCUCUCACCUCCAGGGGCCUGGUCCACCAUCAAAAGGGCAGGCCCUACAAGUUUGCUUGGGGCUAUUGGGGCAGGGGAUUCUCGGGUCCCAGAAAACCAAAGUAUGACCUAGAAGUGAAGACUGAGCUCCUUGCUCUAUGGGGAAGGGUUCAGUCGCUGGAGGACCAAAGUGGGGUCCUUGCAAGUAGGAGACCCCAGACAGGGCCCCGCCUGGGCUGGAGGUACAGCAGAGGUCAUUGCUGAGGUACCACCAUCAUGCCUGCCUGCCUUCUCUGCAGGUGGGUGCUUUCUUUUAUGAUUUGGUUGGUGCAGACCCUUUCUUAAAGUUUAAAUAACUUGGUUCAUAUCAUUCAGAAGUAAAAGGCCAGUUCUGGUAUCAAAGAGGAAGGCCAGGCACCUGGGAAUGUCUCAUGCAUCCUUAGGGCGGUGAUCAGUUCUUUACCAGAGGCCUGAAGAGUGUCCUUGGCUGGUGCCCAUGUGGUCCACACACCACUCAAGAAGACCCACUGUUGAAGGGACACCUGUGGAUUCUGAGGUUGUUGUUCCUGUCCCUUCUAGAAGACCAUCCAGGCAAUUAAAAAUACAAUUACAGAAGGCUUCUAAAUUUAUUUGCUCCACUGUUAAAAAUAAUGCAUACUUUUAUAAAAAUGGGUGAAACAUAAAAAUAUCAAGAAAAGCAUAAAAAUAAACCACAGUGCCACCUCUCACAGAAAACCACUAUACACAUUUUGAUGCAUCAUUCUGGUCUUUUUUUCCAUGUUUGUCUGUGUAUCCAUCUAAAUACAUGUUUUGGGGGGGGGGAUUUAUGACCAUAUUGCAUAUGCUAUUUUGCUUGAGGGCUUCCUUCUUCACUUAACUAUACCAUGAACGUUUGCACAUAUUAGAUAUUCUUCUAAGACUGGGUCAUGAGCAUGUUUACAGCUUUUGAUAAUCUUUUUCAAAUUAUACUCCAGAAAGACUGUAGCACUUUGUGCUCAAACUCAGUCUCCCUGAGGGCACGGGGGCUCUCGCGUGAGCCCCCAGCAGAAGCAGAGAGGUCAGGAGCACAGGCCCCUGCUUAGCUCUAAAGCCUGGUUCUGUACUUCACCCUGUGUGACCCUGGGAUGGGUUACCAGAUUUUCCAGCACAGGGGUUGGUCAGCUUUUUCUGUAAAGGGGCUGAUGAGGACUGCCUUCAUGGGCAUUCAUCCUGGGCAGUCACUGAGGGCCGUAGGCUUAGAAGGGCGCACGUUUGGCUUAAUGCUCUGCUGCCUCUGCUUUGAAAAGUCAUAACAGUUUAUAAACAAGCCAAAUUUUCCCCAAAUUUUCCCUUUGCGUUGGGCCCUGAACACAGUGAAGCUGUCCUGAACUGGAGGCAAAUAUUCUGAGCUUCGGGGGCUGCAUGGUCUCUGCUGCUACCACUCUAGAUUGCAGGUGUAGCGUGAAAGCAGCCAAGAUGAUACGUCAUGAAUGGGCAUGGCUGUGCUCCAGUAAAACUCUACCUACGAAUGCAGUCUGCAGGCUGGAUCUGGCCACAGAGUUGCCAGUUGCCAACCCUGGGCUGCUGCCUCAGUUUCCCAAUGGGGCAAAUGGGAAGAAUAUUAUUCAUCUUAUAUGACUGUUCUGAGAACCAGUCACUGAGACAAAUAAAGCACCUGAACAGUCAGCAUUAUAGUAAGUAUUAGGCAGUGUGAGUUACUUUUACCUUUAAAAAGAAUAUUAUUUUUUUUAAUUGUGGGAAAAAAUAAUUUAAAAUUUUUUUUAAAAUAGUGGCAAGUUAGACACAAUAAAAUUUAUCAUCUGUAAGUGAGCAGCUGAGUGGGAUC